This 253-nucleotide ribosomal RNA is filed under the name uncultured bacterium. Its description in RNAcentral is "partial 16S ribosomal RNA". It matches the Rfam family "Bacterial small subunit ribosomal RNA", at positions 524 to 776 of the family's 1533-position model. The record is from RNAcentral.
UACAGAGGUCUCGAGCGUUAGGCGGAAUCACUGGGCUUAAAGCGUGUGUAGGCGGAUCGUUAAGUGCCUUGUGAAAUCCCACGGCUCAACCGUGGAACUGCUUGGCAUACUGGCGGUCUUGAGCAACCUAGGGGCGAGCGGAACAAGUGGUGGAGCGGUGAAAUGCGUAGAUAUCACUUGGAACGCCAAUGGUGAAGACAGCUCGCUGGGGGUGUCCUGACGCUGAGGCGCGAAAGCCAGGGGAGCGAACGGG